Molecule: long non-coding RNA, 719 nt
Organism: Oncorhynchus tshawytscha (Chinook salmon)
Lineage: Eukaryota; Metazoa; Chordata; Actinopteri; Salmoniformes; Salmonidae
Source: Ensembl
GUGGACCUAUUGGGGCGGUAAGCAAAUUGAAGUGGGUCUAAGGUGGCCAGCAAGAUGGAGGUGAUAUGAUCCUUGACUAGUCUCUCAAAGCACUUCUUGGUGAUAGUCAUUUAGUUCAGUUAUCUUUGCCUUCUUGGGGACAGGAACAAAGGUGGCCAUCUUGAAGCAUGUGGGGACAGCAGAGUGGGAUAGGGAGCGAUUGAAUAUGUCCUUAAACACUCCAGCCAGCUGGUCUGAGCUCUGAGGAUGCGGUUGGGGAUGCCGUCUGGGCCGGCAGCCUGGCGAGGGUUAACACGUUUAACACCAACUACAGUUCACUACUACUGAGAUCUAGAACUACAACACCAACUACAGGUCACUACUACUGAGAUCUAGAACUACAACACCAACUACAGGUCACUACUACUGAGAUCUAGAACUACAACACCAACUACAGGUCACUACUACUGAGAUCUAGAACUACAACAUCAACUACAGGUCACUACUACUGAGAUCUAGAGCUACAACAUCAACUACAGGUCACUACUACUGAGAUCUAGAACUACAACAUACACUACAGUUCACUACUACUGAGAUCUAGAACUACAACAUCAACUACAGGUCCCUACUACUGAGAUCUAGAACUACAACAUCAACUACAGUUCACUACUACUGAGAUCUAGAACUACAACAUCAACUACAACAUCAACUACAACAUCAACUACAGUUCACUACUACUG